CGUGCUUCGUUUGUUUAGCGUGCGACGCUCCAUCUCAUAACUGAUUUUCGGACGCAAUAUGCUUCUUGGUGGGACAUAUUGCCAACAUGCUGGAACCGCAAACUUGUUGGUAACUGUACUCAGAAGAUACCAUCAUGGUACUAUAGUUACUGGAGUGGGAGAUGCAAAGGCUUCCUCUACAGUGGAUGCGGCGGCAACACCAACCGAUUCCCUACGGAAGGGGAAUGCCAAACUGCUUGCACAAGCCGCGUUCGACCUAGAGAAGUUUGUAGCUUGAAGCUGAAAGCUGGACUUUGCCAUGAAUUUCGGCCGUCAUGGUAUUAUGACGUCGAGCACGACCGAUGCCGUGGUUUCAUAUACAGCGGCUGUGAUGGGAAUUUGAACAGAUUUCCAAGCUGCGAGAAGUGUAUGAAACGGUGCAGCGGUAAGUCAUUGAAA
Molecule: long non-coding RNA, 438 nt
Filed under: Dermacentor andersoni
Lineage: Eukaryota; Metazoa; Arthropoda; Arachnida; Ixodida; Ixodidae
Description: uncharacterized LOC126534923
Source: RNAcentral